GAUGAACGCUGGCGGCGUGCCUAAUACAUGCAAGUCGAACGCUGGAGAUCUAGCUUGCUAGAUCGAAGGAGUGGCGAACGGGUGAGUAAUACAUAAGCAACCUACCCACGAAGACUGGGAUAAUCUCUGGAAACGGGGACUAAUACCGGAUAGGUAAUCGGAAGGCAUCUUCUGGUUAUUAAAGGUUAAAAACACUGGUGGAUGGGCUUAUGGCGCAUUAGUUAGUUGGUGAGGUAACGGCCCACCAAGACGAUGAUGCGUAGCCGGCCUGAGAGGGUGAACGGCCACAUUGGGACUGAGACACGGCCCAGACUCCUACGGGAGGCAGCAGUAGGGAAUUUUCGGCAAUGGGGGCAACCCUGACCGAGCAACGCCGCGUGAGUGAAGACGGCCUUCGGGGUGUAAAGCUCUGUUGUAAGGGAAGAACGGUAGAUAGAGAAUAUUUAAGUGACGGUACCUUACCAGAAAGCCACGGCUAACUACGUG
This 486-nucleotide ribosomal RNA is filed under the name uncultured bacterium. Its description in RNAcentral is "partial 16S ribosomal RNA". It matches the Rfam family "Bacterial small subunit ribosomal RNA", at positions 28 to 507 of the family's 1533-position model. The record is from RNAcentral.